This 107-nucleotide ribosomal RNA is filed under the name Salvator merianae (Argentine black and white tegu). The record is from RNAcentral. Lineage: Eukaryota; Metazoa; Chordata; Lepidosauria; Squamata; Teiidae.
GUCUGUGCUAUAAAAUAGCCUUAACAUCUGAUCUCAGCAGCUAAACAGGAUUGCACCUAAUUAGUACUUGAAUGGGAAAUCUGCUGGGAAUACAGGCAUCAUAGGCU